Molecule: ribosomal RNA, 497 nt
Filed under: uncultured bacterium
Lineage: Bacteria
Description: partial 16S ribosomal RNA
Rfam family: Bacterial small subunit ribosomal RNA
Source: RNAcentral
GAUGAACGCUGGCGGCGUGCCUAAUACAUGCAAGUCGAGCGAACGGACGAGAAGCUUGCUGCUCUGAUGUUAGCGGCGGACGGGUGAGUAACACGUGGAUAACCUACCUAUAAGACUGGGAUAACUUCGGGAAACCGGAGCUAAUACCGGAUGAUAUUUUGAACCGCAUGGUUCAAAAGUGAAAGACGGUCUUGCUGUCACUUAUAGAUGGAUCCGCGCUGCAUUAGCUAGUUGGUAAGGUAACGGCUUACCAAGGCAACGUUGCAUAGCCGACCUGAGAGGGGGAUCGGCCAACCGGGAACUGAGACACGGCCCAGACUACUACGGGAGGCAGCAGCAGGGAAUCUUCCGGCAUGGGCGGAAGCCUGACGGAGCAACGCCGCGUGAGGGAUGAAGGUCUUCGGAUCGUAAAACUCUGUUAUUAGGGAAGAACAUAUGUGUAAGUAACUGUGCACAUCUUGACGGUACCUAAUCAGAAAGCCACGGCUAACUACGUG